Molecule: long non-coding RNA, 3227 nt
Filed under: Mus musculus (house mouse)
Lineage: Eukaryota; Metazoa; Chordata; Mammalia; Rodentia; Muridae
Description: RIKEN cDNA A930004D18 gene, transcript variant 1 (A930004D18Rik)
Source: RNAcentral
CGCCAUUUGUGUGGCUACCAUCCUCUUGACUAAGAUGACAAACCAACCAUUUCAACAGAACUCUCUUGGAAAGUUACUGAAGAAGCAUUCAGAGACACUGGAAGGCUGGAAGAGAAUUUCCAUCCUUAGUGCUUGCCUCCUUUGGGUUAGCUCCAGGAAAAAACACAAUGCUGUGGGCUCUGGGGUCCUCACGAAGAGAGGCUGUGCCGGGACCAUGCGCCCAAGGUCCGAGGAUGUCCUCUGCGACCUGCGGCGGGCGUGUGGGUUCAGGCCCAAACGAGUCCCAGGAGUUUCUCAGCGCCUGGAAGUAGACGUGGUCUCUCUAGCCCCUGGCGUCAGUCUUUACCCUUCCUCUUCCUGGAGACCCGGGAGGCCGCGACGUGGAAAGAGAGGCGGGAAAGCCCGCACGGAGCUGCCCAAGUAGAGGGCGGUGGGGCUCAGGGGACUCUAAAGGCGAGAACUGAGGGUCGGAAGCCUGGGGACAAUCCUUUCCCCUCCACGUGCAGCGGGGACACCUCCUCCCCGGGGAACCCAUCCAGCUGCUCCCAACCUGGAGAACAAAGGGUCUGGGAAGCACGGCCGGGGUCGGAGAGCGGAGGUGGAGGGACGCAGGAAGGCAGGCGGUGGGGGCAGGGAAGGGCGCCUGCUUGCACUUCCUCUCUGGCCCGAAUGACGGAAAGCUCCAUGGUGCUAGCGCCUCGUUGAGGCUGUUUUUCAAUCCUGGAGGGCUCGGGUUCCUUACCUAGCGGCCGCACCCGCGCCCUUCCUUCCCUAGGGUCCCCACCCCCUCCGGGGACUAAGGCCUGGAAGCUGCAGAGCCUGCUGUGCCCUGGCGCGGGAGGAACCGCGAGGCACCAGCGCCCCCUGCAGGUGCCAGGGAUCUCCGCAGCCGGGCGCUCCGGGACUCUUAAGGUGGAACUGCCUGAUAAUCUAUCACGCUAGUGAAUGUGGGUGGAGGUUGGUAGUUCUCGCCUCACCCUCGUGCGCAAGGGUCCCCCAAGCGAAACGGGCCUGACGGACCAGAAUCCCGGAGUCUGUCCCUCACUGAUGUUAUUUUCUGGACCCUUGGCCUCACCAUCUGCAGAACCUCUUCUUUGGAUGUCCCACUAUGGAUCGACAAGUCACACUGAUAUUUCCCAGCAGUGUAAGAGGAUGCCUAAAUCUUGCUUCAAGGCCUUUCUAUAACUGGAAAGCAAACUUUUACUUUUCUUUAUUAUACGUAAGUGACUGUGAGCAUGGGAUGAGAUUGGCCAAUCUCGGAAUCUUCUCACUCCCAGCAAAUUCGUGGACAGGUGCACGUACUAUAGGACUGGACCACGCGUCCAGCCUGUGUGGGAUCUACGUCUCGCAUCUUCAGCGACCUCUGCUCGGUGUUAUCCUAUACUUCUUUUUUCUUCUUUCUUUCUUGAACCGACUGAUAAACAUGAAAACUCUUGAAAGUGUCCUCCACGAACUUCAGCUUCUUGGAGGAAACCCUAUGAAUGAGCAAGUAGAGUUCCGCGAGGUCUCAGUCUAUUCCCUCUCGGUUGGCGCCUGGGAGCAUGGGGCUGCAGACUGUCCCUGGACUAUGGCACACCCAUGACCCGGGAGCGGCGGAGGAGAGCCGGGACUGGAACGCACAGGGCUUGAAGGCCGGCUGCUGGCAUUGAGUGUGCGGAUAAUUCACACCGUGGGAACUCCCCUCCCCCUGGGCACUGGGCCUGGGAACCGCCCCGCGGGUGGAUGGCCGAUGGUCCCUGGGGUAGGUGUUAGCGCCUGAGAAGCGGAGUCCACACGCUAGGCAGCUGCGGGCAAAGCUCGCUUGGGCAGGUGCCUCCGGGUCAGACCCGCCAUGGGGGUUGCAAACCGCAAGCGAAAGUCGAGAAGGGCAGGAGCUUGCCCACUAAUCCGUUUUACACUGUGAAAACCGCAGGCUUGUCGCCUAAGAGGCCACUUUUUAAUUUGGAAGCACAUGGAGGGGGGAAAACCAAGUUAACAUGCGAGCACACUUCCUUUUCUUUUUUCCUUGUCGUGCCCCUCCUCCCCCCACUUUUCAACGAAAAAGCUGUCCUACUGGUAAAGAGGGAAAUUGAUCUGCGCUUUGGAUUGCAGGGGGAGACUUGGGCAAGCAGGGAGCCCGGCGGGGAUUCAGGCACAUGCUGUAUCCCUGCCUGCCAACUUCUUCCCUGGCUUCUCACCCGCGUGCCUCCUCUCUACUACGAAUCACCGGAGGCCACGUGCUUCAGGCAAGCCCCAUCCACUGUUUUUUCGCUGUGAAUGAACGCCAGCGUGCAUCAUUUGAGUGUCGGCAUUCCUUGAGAGAGCGCCUGCUCGGUCGGUGGAUCUACCGAAAGGAUAGGGGAUUGGGUUGCCCCGACCGAGCUUCUACACACAAGCGAACCAGAAGAAACACUCAAAGCUUUCCAUGGGGAAACCUACCGAAGCCUCUAACAAAACUCAGUUUACUGCGUGCGGACCUGAGGUGCUCAGGCUCCUGGAAGAACAGCCAGAGGAAGGAAGAGAGCAGGAAGGGGUCGGAUGGGGAACGCUGAGGGUCAAGUGGGCAAGUUCCAGAAUAGUGGUUCCCUUAUUCCUAUGUUCCUCGCGUAAGGGUCCUAUUUAAGAACUCUCUCCCACCACCCAAAUAUGUGCUAGUGGCGAUAGAAAGGGAAGGCAGACAAAAGAAAGCCUUUAUUUAAAAAGUAAAACUAAGAUAACUUACUCGUUGAAAUAGUGUUGGGGGUGGGGGUAGGAGGCAGGACGGAUGGAGGCAGCUUUUUUACUUCUUUUUGGUUUUUGAAACAUAGAACACUUUAAAACUCCAAGGUGUUGGAGGAGCAGAAAGUCUUGUAAAAUGUUUGUACAAUUGAGAGGUACUGCUCAUUAAUUCAUUUUGAAAGGUUGCUGGAUUGAAUGAAGUCUUUCUCAGUCUCUGUGAGAAGCUCAACUAAUUUUGAUGUAGAGCAAAAUUGGGGUCAAAACUUCAUCAACAGACAAUGUGUAUAGAACUUUAUAGCCCUGGGGUCUAUUUCUGGGACAAGAAAUAAAAAAAAAAAUUAAAUGAGAUAACUUCAGCGUUUGUGACCCCACCUUCUCUCCCACGUGUUUGCUUUCUCACACGUGAGCGAGCCGGCACAGACCAGUACUGAUUUGUCUUCUAGGCCUGUGUUUGUUUUCACUCAAGUUGGAGACCUACCUUGUUUUUGCUUGUAUGCACUUUAUUAAAGAUCACCUGUUAACAAAUAAAA